UGAAAAGUGUGCAGCAGUUAACACGGACUGUCAAAAGCGAGCUUGAAGGAGCACUGCCAGUUGGUUGCCUCAUUCCCUCAAGCAUGCGUUUUCUGUUGUGCACUCUACCCUGGUUCUGCAAAGUAAUCUUUCUGUUUACCUCGCUGGCUCACUUGAAUCAUCUCCUUGUCCUCCAUGUGCCUUGUCAGACCUUCUAAUAGAAUCUGCUCCGUGGUCUUCCCAGGCACAGAGUUGAGGCUAACAGGCUGAAAAUUUCUGGGGUCCUCCUUUCUGCCCUUUUUGAAAAUGGGCGAAAUGUGUUCCUUCUGCAAACCACCAGGGACUUCACCUGACUGCCAUGAUGCUUCAGACAUCAUGGAAAGUGGCUUAGUGGCUACAUCAGCCAAUUCUCUCGAGACUCUGGCAUGCAUCUUACCAAGUCCCAUAGGAGGCAUGGGGUGAAAGGUUGCCAGUGAAAACUAAGGAGAAGAUGUUCUUGAGGACCUCAUCCUUCUCCUCACCUGUUGUUACUAAUGCAUUGUUCUCACUCUACAGAGGGUAUUUUUUGGUCAUUAGCUUAUUGGCAUCACAUGUGCCUCUUAUAUAAUAAGUAGAA
Molecule: long non-coding RNA, 595 nt
Organism: Pogoniulus pusillus (Red-fronted tinkerbird)
Lineage: Eukaryota; Metazoa; Chordata; Aves; Piciformes; Lybiidae
Exons: 2
Source: RefSeq, a predicted model, not a curated record